RNAcentral lists this ribosomal RNA (496 nucleotides) under uncultured bacterium. RNAcentral's name for it is "partial 16S ribosomal RNA". It matches the Rfam family "Bacterial small subunit ribosomal RNA", at positions 29 to 507 of the family's 1533-position model. The record is from RNAcentral.
AUGAACGCUGGCGGCGUGCCUAAUACAUGCAAGUCGAGCGAACAGACGAGGAGCUUGCUCCUCUGACGUUAGCGGCGGACGGGUGAGUAACACGUGGAUAACCUACCUAUAAGACUGGGAUAACUUCGGGAAACCGGAGCUAAUACCGGAUAAUAUAUUGAACCGCAUGGUUCAAUAGUGAAAGACGGUUUUGCUGUCACUUAUAGAUGGAUCCGCGCCGCAUUAGCUAGUUGGUAAGGUAACGGCUUACCAAGGCAACGAUGCGUGGCCGACCUGAGAGGGUGAUCGGCCACACUGGAACUGAGACACGGUCCAGACUCCUACGGGAGGCAGCAGUAGGGAAUCUUCCGCAAUGGGCGAAAGCCUGACGGAGCAACGCCGCGUGAGUGAUGAAGGUCUUCGGAUCGUAAAACUCUGUUAUUAGGGAAGAACAAAUGUGUAAGUAACUAUGCACGUCUUGACGGUACCUAAUCAGAAAGCCACGGCUAACUACGUG